RNAcentral lists this ribosomal RNA (253 nucleotides) under uncultured bacterium. RNAcentral's name for it is "partial 16S ribosomal RNA". It matches the Rfam family "Bacterial small subunit ribosomal RNA", at positions 524 to 776 of the family's 1533-position model. The record is from RNAcentral.
AACGUAGGUGGCGAGCGUUAUCCGGAUUUACUGGGCGUAAAGCGUGUGCAGGCGGGGAGACAAGUGGGGUAUGAAAUUUCCCGGCUUAACCGGGAAGGGUUAUGCCAGACUGUCUUUCUGGAGUGCGAGAGAGGGGCGUGGAAUUCCGGGUGUAGUGGUGAAAUGCGUAGAGAUCCGGAGGAACCCCAGAGGCGAAGGCGGCUUGCCAGAACGCGCUCGACGGUGAGGGAUGAAAGCUGGGGGAGCAAACCGG